Molecule: ribosomal RNA, 535 nt
Filed under: uncultured bacterium
Lineage: Bacteria
Description: partial 16S ribosomal RNA
Rfam family: Bacterial small subunit ribosomal RNA
Source: RNAcentral
UGGGGAAUUUUGGACAAUGGGCGAAAGCCUGAUCCAGCAAUGCCGCGUGUGUGAAGAAGGCCUUCGGGUUGUAAAGCACUUUUGUCCGGAAAGAAAUCCUUGGCUCUAAUACAGUCGGGGGAUGACGGUACCGGAAGAAUAAGCACCGGCUAACUACGUGCCAGCAGCCGCGGUAAUACGUAGGGUGCAAGCGUUAAUCGGAAUUACUGGGCGUAAAGCGUGCGCAGGCGGUUUGCUAAGACCGAUGUGAAAUCCCCGGGCNCAACCUGGGAACUGCAUUGGUGACUGGCAGGCUAGAGUAUGGCAGAGGGGGGUAGAAUUCCACGUGUAGCAGUGAAAUGCGUAGAGAUGUGGAGGAAUACCGAUGGCGAAGGCAGCCCCCUGGGCCAAUACUGACGCUCAUGCACGAAAGCGUGGGGAGCAAACAGGAUUAGAUACCCUGGUAGUCCACGCCCUAAACGAUGUCAACUAGUUGUUGGGGAUUCAUUUCCUUAGUAACGUAGCUAACGCGUGAAGUUGACCGCCUGGGGAGUAC